AGUGAACGCUGGCGGUAGGCCUAACACAUGCAAGUCGAACGGCAGCACAGUAAGAGCUUGCUCUUACGGGUGGCGAGUGGCGGACGGGUGAGGAAUACAUCGGAAUCUACUUUUUCGUGGGGGAUAACGUAGGGAAACUUACGCUAAUACCGCAUACGACCUACGGGUGAAAGUAGGGGAUCUUCGGACCUUGCGCGAUUGAAUGAGCCGAUGUCGGAUUAGCUAGUUGGCGGGGUAAAGGCCCACCAAGGCGACGAUCCGUAGCUGGUCUGAGAGGAUGAUCAGCCACACUGGAACUGAGACACGGUCCAGACUCCUACGGGAGGGAGCAGUGGGGAAUAUUGGACAAUGGGCGCAAGCCUGAUCCAGCCAUACCGCGUGGGUGAAGAAGGCCUUCGGGUUGUAAAGCCCUUUUGUUGGGAAAGAAAAGCAGCAGGUUAAUACCCCGCUGUUCUGACGGUACCCAAAGAAUAAGCACCGGCUAACUUCGUG
Molecule: ribosomal RNA, 492 nt
Filed under: uncultured bacterium
Lineage: Bacteria
Description: partial 16S ribosomal RNA
Rfam family: Bacterial small subunit ribosomal RNA
Source: RNAcentral